This 2536-nucleotide transfer RNA is filed under the name Sus scrofa (pig). RNAcentral's name for it is "lncRNA (ENSSSCG00015010342.1)". The record is from RNAcentral. Lineage: Eukaryota; Metazoa; Chordata; Mammalia; Artiodactyla; Suidae.
AAUUUCAAAAGGGAUAAUUUUAUUUAUUUUUUAAAAAUUUUCAGCUACACCUGUGGCAUACAGGUUCCCAGGUCAGGGAUCAAGUCCAAGCUGGAGCUGUGAUCUACACAACAGCCAUGGCAACACCAAAUCCUUAACCCACUUUGUGGCUGGGGAUUGAACCAAUGCCUCCACAGAGACAAGCUGGAUCAUUAACCCAAUGAGCCACAGUGGGAACUCCCAAAAGGGAUAAUUUUAUAAUUGUGAUAAGCAAUAAAAGUAUCAUAUAAUUAUACAAAUACUUAUACAUAGAUGAAAAAGAUUUUUAAAACAUAUUGAGAUCAACUAUAAAGCAUAGAUUUCACCUCAUAAAUUUAACAUUAUCAGAUAUAAAAUUGUUUUGUCUAUAGUUUCAUUUUUAACAUUUAAGUCUUUAAUCUGUUUGACUAAUUUAUGAUAAAUUGAUACAAUGAAAGAUGCACAUUGACAAAAAGAUGCUAACUGAAUAUAUACAAUUAAAAAAUAUUUUAUGAGCCUCUACAUACCAUGUACCACCUACCAUGAACCAUAGUUCUAAGCAAUGAGGUGGGUGCAAAUAAGACUGAAAGGUUUUUGCUCUCAGGAGCUUAUGUUAUGAGGGGAGAUAGACAAUAAUCAUUUUAAACAACUUUUUAAAAGAGUUCCCUGGCGGCUCAGCUGGUGAAGCAUCUGGUAUUGUCAUUGCUGUAGCCCAGGUCUGAACCCUGGCCUGGGAACUUCUGCACUCCACAGUCAGGGCAAAAAAAAAAAGAAAAAAAAAGUUAAAACCAGGGCGAUAUGAUAGAGAUUAAUUUGAGUGUGAGAGAAGCAACAAUAGGAUGGAGUAGUUUUAAAGGAUUUUUUUUUUCUGAGGGCCAGCGCCCACAGCAUAUGGAGGUUCCCAGGCUAGGGAUCGAAUCAGAGCUGCAGCUGCCGGCCUACACCACAGCCACAGCAACACCGGAUCCUUAACCCACUGAGCAAGGCCAGGGAUUAAACACACCCUCAUGGUUCCUAGUCGGAUUCGUUUCCGCUGUGCCUCGACGGGAACUCCUGAGUGUUUUUCUUUAUAGGUUUUAUGUGUGUGUGUGUAUUACAAUAUGCACACCCUACUUAACACAAUCUACUGGUAUUGUCAUUUUCCCACUUUGAAGUGCAGAAACCUCACUUCUGUGUCAGCCCCUAUACUCUCCUCACUCUGUAAUAUAACUGAAGGAUUUCCUUUUUGUAAAUGGAAGCAACACAUAAGACCAUCAAAUGUGAUUUUAGGAGUUCCUGGUGGGCUGGAAUGGGAUCGGCAGUGUCUUGGGAGUGUUGGGAUGCAGGUUUGAUCCCUGCCCCGGCACAGUGGGUUAAGGAUCCGGUGUUGCAGCAACUGCAGCAUAGGUCACAAUUGCAGCUCGGAUCUGAUCCCUGGCUUAGGAACUCCAUAUACUGUGGCCAAAAAGGAAAACGUGAUUUUAAAAAUUCAUGAGGAUAGUCCAUUAUGUUUACCCUUAUUUUCACCCAUUUCACUUUUUUUUCUGUGUGUGUGUAUGUGUCUUUUUGUCCUUUUAGGGCUGCACCCACGGCAUAUAGAGGUUCCCAGUCGGAUUCCUUUCCACUACUCCAUGACCAGAACUCCCCACUUUUUUUUUAAAGUUCUAGCCCUCCUCCUGUUAUCGUUUCCUUUAUAAUUGUAGAACCUCCUUUAGCCAGUCUUUAAGGCCUGCUGCUGACAAAUUCUUAAUUUUUCUUCACCUGAAGGGCUUCAUCAUCUGGGGGUCUUUAUUUUCCCUUCAUUUCUGAGGAGCAUUUUUGCUAGACAGAGAAUUAAGGAUUUACAAUAUUUUUUUCUUGAAAAAUGUUCCAUCUCCUUCUGGCUUCCAUGGUUUCAGGUGAGAUAUUCACUGUUAUUUAACUGUUCCCCUACAGAGAGUGUGUCAUUUCUUUCUUCAAAUGAAUAGUCACAACUGAAUUUCUAGUAAGUCUGUAUAGGGAAUAAGGCUAUAUUCAAAAUUUCUCCAGGACACAAACUCCUAAGACUAACCUAGAAAAGUUAGAAAGGAGAGUAAGAGGGUACAUGUCCUAUCAGAAAGCUAUGGUAAUAAAACAAUAUGAUAGGUACAGGAAUAGACAAACAGAUCAGGGGGGCAAAACAGAGGAUUCUGAAAGAGACCCAGAUAUAAAGGGAUUUAGUAUUAGAAGAGUGUAGGGUAUAUUUUAUUUUUUUUAAAUUUUUGUCUUAUUAGGGCCGCACUUACAGCACAUGUAAGUUCCCAGGCAAGGGAUCGAAUUGGAGCUGUAGCUGCAGGCCUAUACCACAACCACAGCAACUUCAGAUCUGAGCCAAGUCCGAGAACUACACUGCAGCUCACAGCAAUGCCAGAUCCUUAACCCACUGAGCAAGGCCAGGGAUCGAAUCCCCAUCCUCAUGUAUACUAGUUGGGUUCCUUACCAUUGAGCCACAAUGGGAAGUCCCUAAGGUAUAUUUUAAAACUUGGAAUCCCUAGCCUGGGAACCUCCAUAUACCACGGGUACGGCCCUAAAAAGACAAAAA